Dermacentor albipictus is the source of this 459-nucleotide long non-coding RNA. RefSeq lists it as uncharacterized. NCBI's taxonomy places the organism in Eukaryota, Metazoa, Arthropoda, Arachnida, Ixodida, Ixodidae. The record is from RefSeq and is a predicted model, not a curated record.
CUGACCGAUCUCUUCGCAGAGCCACCCGCGCAUCGGAGGAGCAUAGCAGCAAGUAAGGCGAGCACCUACGAAAAGCUACUCAACGCAAGUACGAUUGCUGCGUGUAAUCUAAAGCUGUACGCUUACGAACAAUCAAAGCCCACCAUGGCAGGAACGUUUGUCGCACUUGGAUUACUGCUGCUCACCAUUGUGGCAACCGUGGCUUCAGAAGAGCCAACUUGUCCGGAUAUCGACUGCUCGAACAACAGCGCUUGCUUUAUUGGGCAAGAGCGCUGCAUUUGCUCAUGCGUUGGUGACAGACACCCUUGUGGGGCUUUCCUAAGCAUCCCGUGCACGCAGGGCCGUUCCAUCAGCUGUACCAGACGCCAUGGCCGAUGCACUUGCAAAUGUGUUUUCUAAAUGACUCGCCCAAGACAGUGUACACAUGUCUAAUAAAAGGCGCAUUGAAAUAAAAAAUAA